Portunus trituberculatus (swimming crab) is the source of this 218-nucleotide long non-coding RNA. RefSeq lists it as uncharacterized. NCBI's taxonomy places the organism in Eukaryota, Metazoa, Arthropoda, Malacostraca, Decapoda, Portunidae. The record is from RefSeq and is a predicted model, not a curated record. The transcript is spliced from 3 exons.
CCUCCACACACUUCCCGUCCUACCCAUCUGCAUCCACGCGCCCCGCCCGGCAUCGUGACUGACAAAAUAUCACCUGUGGCCUUGACCCUCACCUGCAUCUCGCUCGGCGCUCCUCACACCUUACCCGCCUCACACCUCUCCUACCGGCCGAUACAGCACGCCAGAGAGGAAGUGAGGCGUGAGCCGUGACACUUGACCUGACUCCAACCAAGUGAGGG